This 484-nucleotide ribosomal RNA is filed under the name uncultured bacterium. RNAcentral describes it as "partial 16S ribosomal RNA". It matches the Rfam family "Bacterial small subunit ribosomal RNA", at positions 30 to 507 of the family's 1533-position model. The record is from RNAcentral.
AGUGAACGCUGGCGGCAGGCCUAACACAUGCAAGUCGAGCGGCAGCGGGUCCUUCGGGAUGCCGGCGAGCGGCGGACGGGUGAGGAAUGCAUCGGAAUCUGCCCUGUCGUGGGGGAUAACCUAGGGAAACUUAGGCUAAUACCGCAUACGACCCACGGGUGAAAGCGGGGGAUCGCAAGACCUCGCGCGAUAGGAUGAGCCGAUGUCCGAUUAGCUAGUUGGCGGGGUAAAGGCCCACCAAGGCGACGAUCGGUAGCUGAUCUGAGAGGAUGAUCAGCCACACUGGGACUGAGACACGGCCCAGACUCCUACGGGAGGCAGCAGUGGGGAAUAUUGGACAAUGGGCGCAAGCCUGAUCCAGCCAUGCCGCGUGGGUGAAGAAGGCCUUCGGGUUGUAAAGCCCUUUUGUCCGGGAAGAAAUCGUCUGGGCUAAUACCCCGGGCGGAUGACGGUACCGGAAGAAUAAGCACCGGCUAACUUCGUG